Molecule: ribosomal RNA, 317 nt
Filed under: uncultured bacterium
Lineage: Bacteria
Description: bacterial SSU rRNA
Rfam family: Bacterial small subunit ribosomal RNA
Source: RNAcentral
AAUCAACGCUGGCGGCGUGCCUCAGACAUGCAAGUCGAACGCGAAAUUUCCCUUCGGGGAGAAAGUAGAGUGGCGCACGGGUGAGUAACACGUAGGUAAUUUGCCUUUGGGUGGGGAAUAACUCAGGGAAACUUGAGCUAAUACCGCAUAAUGCAGCGGCUCGACAUCGAGACAGUUGUUAAAGCGGGGAUUGGAGCAAUCCGACCUCGCGCCUAAAGAGAAGCCUGCGGCAGAUUAGCUAGUUGGUAAGGUAAUGGCUUACCAAGGCGACGAUCUGUAACCGGCCUGAGAGGGCGGUCGGUCACACUGACACUGAC